Molecule: unclassified non-coding RNA, 192 nt
Filed under: uncultured Saccharomycetales
Lineage: Eukaryota; Fungi; Ascomycota; Saccharomycetes
Description: sequence contains ITS1
Source: RNAcentral
CAGUAUUCUUUUGCCAGCGCUUAAUUGCGCGGCGAAAAACCUUACACACUAUGUUUUUUUAAUUUGAAACUAUUGCUUUGGUCUGGCUUAGAAAUAGGUUGGGCCAAAGGUUUUAUCAAAACUUCAAUAUUUAUUAUUGAAUUGUUAUUUUUAAUUUUAUGUCAAUUUGUUGAUUAAUAUCAAAAAUCUUCA